GGCAGGCUUUACACAUGCAAGUCGAGCGCCCCCAGGGAGUGGCAGACGGGUGAGUAACGCGUGGGAAUCUACCCAUCUUUUCGGAAUAACUCAGGGAAACGUUUGAUAAUACCGUAUAGCCCUUCGGGGGAAAGAUUUAUCGGGAUGGAUGAGCCCGCGUUGGAUUAGCUAGUUGGU
RNAcentral lists this ribosomal RNA (177 nucleotides) under uncultured Rhizobium sp. RNAcentral's name for it is "partial 16S ribosomal RNA". It matches the Rfam family "Bacterial small subunit ribosomal RNA", at positions 41 to 253 of the family's 1533-position model. Lineage: Bacteria; Pseudomonadati; Pseudomonadota; Alphaproteobacteria; Hyphomicrobiales; Rhizobiaceae. The record is from RNAcentral.